This 850-nucleotide ribosomal RNA is filed under the name Sphingobacterium sp. CI48. Its description in RNAcentral is "bacterial SSU rRNA". It matches the Rfam family "Bacterial small subunit ribosomal RNA", at positions 34 to 876 of the family's 1533-position model. Lineage: Bacteria; Pseudomonadati; Bacteroidota; Sphingobacteriia; Sphingobacteriales; Sphingobacteriaceae. The record is from RNAcentral.
CGCUAGCGGCAGGCCUAAUACAUGCAAGUCGGACGGGAUCCAUCGGAGAGCUUGCUCGAAGAUGGUGAGAGUGGCGCACGGGUGCGUAACGCGUGAGCAACCUACCUCUAUCAGGGGGAUAGCCUCUCGAAAGAGAGAUUAACACCGCAUAAUAUAAUGUACCGGCAUCGGGAUAUUAUUAAAUAUUUAUAGGAUAGAGAUGGGCUCGCGUGACAUUAGCUAGUUGGUAGGGUAACGGCUUACCAAGGCGACGAUGUCUAGGGGCUCUGAGAGGAGAAUCCCCCACACUGGUACUGAGACACGGACCAGACUCCUACGGGAGGCAGCAGUAAGGAAUAUUGGUCAAUGGGCGGAAGCCUGAACCAGCCAUGCCGCGUGCAGGAUGACUGCCCUAUGGGUUGUAAACUGCUUUUGUCCAGGAAUAAACCUAGAUACGUGUAUCUAGCUGAAUGUACUGGAAGAAUAAGGAUCGGCUAACUCCGUGCCAGCAGCCGCGGUAAUACGGAGGAUCCGAGCGUUAUCCGGAUUUAUUGGGUUUAAAGGGUGCGUAGGCGGCCUAUUAAGUCAGGGGUGAAAUACGGUGGCUCAACCAUCGCAGUGCCUUUGAUACUGAUGGGCUUGAAUCCAUUUGAAGUGGGCGGAAUAAGACAAGUAGCGGUGAAAUGCAUAGAUAUGUCUUAGAACUCCGAUUGCGAAGGCAGCUCACUAAGCUGGUAUUGACGCUGAUGCACGAAAGCGUGGGGAUCGAACAGGAUUAGAUACCCUGGUAGUCCACGCCCUAAACGAUGAUAACUCGAUGUUGGCGAUAGACAGCCAGCGUCUUAGCGAAAGCGUUAAGUUAUCCACCUGG